AGUGAGCCCCAGAUCCAGGGACUAAGGCAGCAGGGGUGAAAGCAGGCAGCAGGAAGUACCUCACCUUUCAGGAUGGGGGCCGCCAUGACAGACGGCGGGAUCCGGCCAGCUGGCCUACGCGGUGCUUGCGAGCCUGGCGGCGCGCGCGGGCACUGGGCAUGCGCGGGGUGAGCGCGCCGCCGUCACCGCGCUCCGCUGAAUCCGCGUUUCCGGGAUUUCUCUGUAGGUGAGGCGGGAGGCUGGAGGGAGCUGAGCCCCCGGGGAGGGGGCCCGAUUCCGCCUCGCCGCGCCUCUGGCUGCUGGGCCGUGGGUUUUUCUCUUCUCCUGGGAGUAAGGAGGACGACGGCCCCUAACCCCUGAAUUAGCCUUCUAUUUCCAUUAGUGACUUAGAAGCUACCCGGCGCCUCAUCUGGGCUCACCUGAGCUGAGGAUCAGGAAGGGGAGGGGGCACAGUCAUUCCCUCGCGGACGCGGCGGGACCCCAGCGGACGGCUUUGUGCGGACUUUCGGCACCGUUAUGCCCCCCUAGCCCGACACCACCUGGGGCUGGCGCGCCACGUUACUGUUCAGGGCCAGACGCACCGCCCUGCCUGCUCCGGGGAGCCGGACCUCCGAUCCCGGGGAUGGGGGACCCCGAGACCUCAGACCCAACGGAGGGGACUCUGAUACCUCAGACCCCACGCGGGGACCCCGAGGCUUCAGACCCCCACAGGGUGACCCCGAGAUCUCAGACCCCCGCAGGAGUACCUCCAGACCUCAAAUCCCCAGUAAGGGAAUGAAAGAGACUUCGGAUCCCUGAGGCAGCAAAUCCCUGUAGGGGCAUCCCAGGACUCAGGUCACCGCGGGGUGAACCCAGACCUCACAUUCAGGCAAUCCCCAGGACGCCGAUCGGCUGGCACUACCCACUGUCCCGGCCACCCCCCCUGGAGCUCAAAGGCUUGGCCCUCCAGCUGCUCCACCCUGCCGGCAACCAGGCUCAAACCUGCAGCCCGCGGAUCCCCUGCCCCGGAAGCAACCAGAUUCGCGGGAGGUUACCUGACUGAUCCAAGGUGAUACAGCUGGUAACUGAUGGAGAUGUUGGUAGUGAAAUUCAUGUACUUUUAGUUCUUUCUAUGGAAUCUAGAGGUAGAAUACAUGUAAAAGAAUAUCGACUACCGUCUACUCAGGCAGUUUCUCACUCCGUUGCCCAGGCUGGAAUGCAGUGGUGUAAUCACAGCUCACUGCAGCCUCAACCUACUGGACUCAAAGGAUAAGAUCUGCUUUUAAUUAAUUUUUGUAUACGGAAUAUAAAUGGUUGGAGAAGACAGACAAAGAGAACCGCUCUUCUGUAACAACGGGAAGGUGAAACCCCUUUUUGGACUGGCAAUGGUGAAAUCUAAGCAUGGCUCCAAUUUGAGUAGGGGACACGGAUACUGUUGACCUCUUUGCUGAAGGGGAGAA
RNAcentral lists this long non-coding RNA (1439 nucleotides) under Homo sapiens (human). RNAcentral describes it as "non-protein coding lnc-ANGPT2-2:15". Lineage: Eukaryota; Metazoa; Chordata; Mammalia; Primates; Hominidae. The record is from RNAcentral.